CUUAGAUCUCAUGCUGCCUGACUUUAUGAACUUGAGCAAAGUGUGAGCCUUGAGUCAGAUGAGAGGUGUCUGAAUCAUGUUAUUUACAGCUUAUAAUGUACUCAGUAACUAUUUAUUGAGCUCAGUCUUUAUGUCAAUGUCACAUAGUAGACAAGACAGAUGAAAUUCCUGUCCUCAAAAAGUUUAGAUUCUAGUAUGGCAAAGGAUAAAUUAAGGACACCUAUACAGUGUGUGGGCUGGGGGUGUGGUUCAGUGGUAGAGCAUUUGCUUAGCAUAUGUAAAACCACCGUGGGUUCAGUCCUGGUAAAACACACAAAUCUCAGUGUAGGAUAUGGUGCAUUGGAUGGGCCUUUUAAUUCAGUGGAUAUAUCAAGGGAUCAUUGCAUAUCCAAGUCUGGAGUUAAGAAGAAAGGACUUUUGAUGUAAAAUGUGGGAAUCACUGACACGUGGAUGUAUUUAAAGACAUGAGAUACUGAGAUCACCAUGAUAGUAUUGAAGUAGAAACUAGCAAAGGACUGAGCCCAGAACACUCUGAUGGCUAAAGAUCAGAGAGAUGUGUCAGAUGUUGCUGACUGAGUAAUAAAAUGACUGAGAAUUGUUAUUUUUUAUCGUUAGGAUGUAGCAGCAGUGAAUUCUUUGAUGAUUUCUAUGAAUUCCUCUUAGGGCCCUGCAGGAUUUUUAA
This 682-nucleotide long non-coding RNA is filed under the name Marmota monax (woodchuck). Lineage: Eukaryota; Metazoa; Chordata; Mammalia; Rodentia; Sciuridae. The record is from RNAcentral.